This 325-nucleotide ribosomal RNA is filed under the name uncultured eukaryote. RNAcentral describes it as "partial 18S ribosomal RNA". It matches the Rfam family "Eukaryotic small subunit ribosomal RNA", at positions 1470 to 1796 of the family's 1831-position model. The record is from RNAcentral.
CCCUUAGAUGUCCUGGGCCGCACGCGCGCUACACUGAUGCAUUCAACGAGUAUUUCCUUGGCCGAGAGGCCUGGGCAAUCUUUUAAACCUGCAUCGUGAUAGGGAUAGAUUAUUGCAAUUAUUAAUCUUGAACGAGGAAUUCCUAGUAAACGCAAAUCAUCAAUUUGCAUUGAUUACGUCCCUGCCCUUUGUACACACCGCCCGUCGCACCUACCGAUUGAAUGGUCCGGUGAAAUCUCGGGAUCGUGGCCAGUUCACUUUAUUGGGAGUUGGCUGCGAGAACUUGCUUAAACCUUAUCAUUUAGAGGAAGGUGAAGUCGUAACA